Molecule: ribosomal RNA, 392 nt
Filed under: uncultured bacterium
Lineage: Bacteria
Description: bacterial SSU rRNA
Rfam family: Bacterial small subunit ribosomal RNA
Source: RNAcentral
AUUGAACGCUGGCGGAAUGCUUUACACAUGCAAGUCGAGCGGCAGCGCGGGGGCAACCCUGGCGGCGAGCGGCGAACGGGUGAGUAACAUAUCGGAACGUACCCCGUCGUGGGGGAUAACACAGCGAAAGCUGUGUUAAUACCGCAUACGACCUGAGGGUGAAAGCGGGGGACCGUAAGGCCUCGCGCGAUGGGAGCGGCCGAUAUCGGAUUAGCUUGUUGGUGAGGUAAAGGCUCACCAAGGCGACGAUCCGUAGCUGGUCUGAGAGGACGACCAGCCACACUGGAACUGAGACACGGUCCAGACUCCUACGGGAGGCAGCAGUGGGGAAUUUUGGACAAUGGGCGCAAGCCUGAUCCAGCCAUGCCGCGUGAGUGAAGAAGGCCUCGGUU